This 1406-nucleotide ribosomal RNA is filed under the name uncultured bacterium. Its description in RNAcentral is "bacterial SSU rRNA". It matches the Rfam family "Bacterial small subunit ribosomal RNA". The record is from RNAcentral. RNAcentral also lists the same sequence under 1 other name.
UAGAGUUUGAUCCUGGCUCAGGACGAACGCUGGCGGCGUGCCUAAUCUAUGCAAGUCGAGGGAGUUUAGGCUCCCGGCGAACGAGUGAGUAAUACAUAGGAACGUGCCCCAAAGAGGGGGAUAACCCACCGAAAGGUGGGAUAAUACCCCAUAAUCUCUUCGGAGCAAAGGUAUACCUUUUCGGAGGUAUUUCCGCUUUGGGAGCGGCCUAUGUCCCAUCAGCUAGUUGGUAGGGUAAAGGCCUACCAAGGCUAUAACGGGUAGGGGGCGUGAGAGCGUGUACCCCCACGGUGGCACUGAGACACGGGCCACACACCUACGGGUGGCAGCAAGUAGGAAUCGUGCGCAAUGGGCGAAAGCCUGACGCCGCGACGCCGCGUGAGGGAUGAAGGCCUUCGGGUUGUAAACCUACAUUAAAAAGUCACGGCUAACUUCGUGCCAGCAGCAGCGGUAAUACGGAGGUGGCAAGCGUUGUCCGAUGUUAUUGGGCGUAAAGAGUUCUGUAGGCGGAUUGGUAAGUUAUAUGUUAAAUACAGGAGCCCAACUCCUGUACGGCAUGUAAAACUACCUAUCUAGAGCAAGCUAGAGGCUAGCGGAACGUACGGUGUAGUAGUGAAAUGCGUUGAUAUCGUACGGAACACCAAAGGCGUAGGCAGCUAGCUGGGGCUUUGCUGACGCUGAGAGACGAAAGCGUGGGGAGCGAAACGGAUUAGAUACCCGUGUAGUCCACGCCGUAAACGAUGCCGACUAGGAGGUAGUUCUUUUACAGAAUUACUUUCGAAGCUAACGCGUUAAGUCGGCCGCCUGGGGAGUACGGUCGCAAGGCUAAAACUCAAAGGAAUUGGCGGGGACCCGCACAAGCGGUGGAGCGCCUGGUUUAAUUCGAUGAUAAGCGAAGGACCUUACCUGGGUUUGACAUGCUACUGCACAUCCCCCGAAAGGGGGAAAGCCUUCGAGGGUGUAGCACAGGUGGUGCACGGCUGUCGUCAGUUCGAGUCGUGAGAUGUUCGGUUAAGUCCGUUAUCGAACGCAACCCCUAUCGUUAGUUGUAUCACUCUAACGAGACUGCCUCUGUAAGGAGGAGGAAGGUGGGGAUGACGUCAAGUCAGCGUGGCCCUUAUACCCAGGGCGACACGGGCGCUACAAUGGUGAGUACAAAGGGUUGCAACACGGCGACGUGAAGCUAAUCCCUAAAAACUCGCCCCAGUUCGGAUUGGAGUCUGCAACUCGACUCCAUGAAGUUGGAAUCGCUAGUAAUCGCCGGUCAGCCAUACGGCGGUGAAUACGUUCUCGGGUCUUGCACACACUGCCCGUCAGUUGUGGGAAGUUGGAAAUACCCAAAGUCUCUCCUUUAGGAGGGCCUAAGGUAGAGCCAAUGACCAACAAUAAGUCGUAACAAGGUAACC